AAAAAGAGCACUGUAAUAUUUCCCUACUUCUUUUUGCUUCAUAUAUUUUCUCAAAAGCAUUAAGACAUGUUGCCAUGUUGGGCCAGAUCAAGAAAAUAAAACACCAUUUUCUCAGAUUAGAUUUGGCUGCCAUCCAUUGAUUAGGAAACUCUUAAAGGGAGAAGAAGACAACUCACAGAAGAGUCAUGACUGGCUGGCAGGCAAUAGCAUGCAGGUCCUUCACAGUCUGUCCAGUCAUUUCUUUACCUUCAGGCCAUUCUUUUUCCUCUUUCUCCUCCCCCUCUCUUUCUCCUCCCCCUCUCUUUCUCCUCCCCCUCUCUUUCUCCUCCCCCUCUCUUUCUCCUGGAACCGUUCUCCUCUCUUUUACCUCUUCAUCCUGCUCCUCAACUCCUUCGUUCUCCUCUUUUUCUCUCCCGCUCCCAUCAUCCUGGUCUCCUGCUGGGCGUGUCCAUGUUGGAGGCUGUCAACCUCCAGCAGCUGUGCCGGAGAGACCGGUCCCCACUUGAAACAAGGAAAUCAUACAUUUCAUUUUUACUUUGAAUAAUGACAAUAAAAAAUACAGUUGAUUUUUAUAUAAAUGUGAUUUUUUUUCAGUCUCACACUCCUACAGUGUGGUAUUAGCUCUGGGUAAUUAUGGCAUAGUAACCAUUGCUCAUGUGCAACACAUUGACAUGGUGGUAUUUAGCCCAAAAUAGGGCAAAGGUCACCACUAUCACGGCAAGGAUGCGGUUGGUCUUCCUGGUGGUGCCAGCAGGUGUGGCCGGACACUAAGGUGUGAGCAGAUUGCCAUGAUGCCGAAGGGGACCAGGAACGCAGCGACCGUCUCUAGGGAAUAAUGAAACACCGGGUAGAAUGGAUGAGACAAGAAACAAUUGGAUUUGAUUUACUUCAUUAUUAAAGUGUCUUGCAUCUUCAGGAUUCCCAGCCCACUUACGUUUUAGUAAGAGUGUCUUCAAUGAAUGUAAUUACAUAUUGUAUCUAGUCAAAUUGCAGUUAUUGUCUGUUACAAUUAAUUGCAUUAAGAACAAUGUUUGACUGAUUGAUUAUACUGUGUUGAAGAUAUAUCCAUAUCUGUUUAGAAUACUUGUGGAUAGAAUAAACAAAAAUCUGCAACAUAUUUUAUGGACAACUGAGAACACAAUAUGAGAACAUGUGCUGUACUAAAAUCAAUAAAAAUGCAAGAUGAAGGAAUAUUCUGGUGGGCGGACGCGCUUGGACAUGAAGGUCCAAUCCCCACGCAGGUGUCGAUCGACGCCCAUCAGGGUGACCAACAGGAGGCUGAGGUACAUGAAAGAUGCUGCAGAUGUAGUGCAGGAGCUUACACACGCCCUCUCCCAACUCCCAGACUUCGCCCGUGAAGAACUGGCAAAUUAAGAAAGGAGCGGUGAGCAGGAUGAUCGAGCAGGUUGGGAGGACCGGUGAGCAGGAUGAUCGAGCAGGUUGGGAGGAGCGGUGAGCAGGAUGAUCGAGCAGGUUGGGAGGAGCGGUGAGCAGGAUGAUCGAGCAGGUUGGGAGGAGCGGUGAGCAGGAUGAUCGAGCAGGUUGGGAGGAGCGGUGAGCAGGACGAUCGAGCAGGUUGGGAGGAGCGGUGAGCAGGACGAUCGAGCAGGUUGGGAGGAGCGGUGAGCAGGACGAUCGAGCAGGUUGGGAGGAGCGGUGAGCAGGACGAUCGAGCAGGUUGGGAGGAGCGGUGAGCAGGACGAUCGAGCAGGUUGGGAGGAGCGGUGAGC
Long non-coding RNA from Oncorhynchus tshawytscha (Chinook salmon), 1730 nucleotides. Lineage: Eukaryota; Metazoa; Chordata; Actinopteri; Salmoniformes; Salmonidae. The record is from Ensembl.